UGGGGAAUAUUGCACAAUGGGCGCAAGCCCGAUGCAGCCAUGCCGUGCGUGUGAAGAAGGUCUUCGGGUUGUAAAGCACUUUCAGCGGGGAGGAAGGCGUUAAGGUUAAUAACCUUGGCGAUUGACGUUACCCGCAGAAGAAGCACCGGCUAACUCCGUGCCAGCAGCCGCGGUAAUACGGAGGGUGCAAGCGUUAAUCGGAAUUACUGGGCGUAAAGCGCACGCAGGCGGUCUGUCAAGUCGGAUGUGAAAUCCCCGGGCUCAACCUGGGAACUGCAUUCGAAACUGGCAAGCUAGGGUCUUGUAGAGAGGGGUAGAAUUCCAAGGAUAGCGGUGAAAUGCGUAGGGAUCUGGAAGAAUACCGGUGGCGAAGGCGGCCCCCUGGGCAAAGACUGACGCUCAGGUGCGAAAGCGUGGGGAGCAAACAGG
RNAcentral lists this ribosomal RNA (429 nucleotides) under Chloroflexota bacterium. Its description in RNAcentral is "Chloroflexi bacterium partial 16S ribosomal RNA". It matches the Rfam family "Bacterial small subunit ribosomal RNA", at positions 355 to 776 of the family's 1533-position model. The record is from RNAcentral. Lineage: Bacteria; Bacillati; Chloroflexota.